Molecule: unclassified non-coding RNA, 150 nt
Filed under: uncultured fungus
Lineage: Eukaryota; Fungi
Description: sequence contains ITS1, 5.8S rRNA gene
Source: RNAcentral
CAGAGUGUAAAAACUCCCUAAACCCACUGUGAAUCUACCGAUUUGUUGCUUUGGCAGGCGGCCCCAGGGCGGGGCCUUCGCCGUCAGGUGCCUGCCGAAGGAUUAAAACCAUCUCUUUAGCGGUCUUCAGAGUACUAGACAAAUAAGUCA